UGGGGAAUAUUGCACAAUGGGCGCAAGCCUGAUGCAGCCAUGCCGCGUGUGUGAAGAAGGCCUUCGGGUUGUAAAGCACUUUCAGCGGGGAGGAAGGCGAUAAGGUUAAUAACCUCAUCGAUUGACGUUACCCGCAGAAGAAGCACCGGCUAACUCCGUGCCAGCAGCCGCGGUAAUACGGAGGGUGCAAGCGUUAAUCGGAAUUACUGGGCGUAAAGCGCACGCAGGCGGUCUGUCAAGUCGGAUGUGAAAUCCCCGGGCUCAACCUGGGAACUGCAUUCGAAACUGGCAGGCUAGAGUCUCGUAGAGGGGGGUAGAAUUCCAGGUGUAGCGGUGAAAUGCGUAGAGAUCUGGAGGAAUACCGGUGGCGAAGGCGGCCCCCUGGACAAAGACUGACGCUCAGGUGCGAAAGCGUGGGGAGCAAACAGG
RNAcentral lists this ribosomal RNA (429 nucleotides) under Chloroflexota bacterium. RNAcentral's name for it is "Chloroflexi bacterium partial 16S ribosomal RNA". It matches the Rfam family "Bacterial small subunit ribosomal RNA", at positions 355 to 776 of the family's 1533-position model. The record is from RNAcentral. Lineage: Bacteria; Bacillati; Chloroflexota.